RNAcentral lists this ribosomal RNA (394 nucleotides) under uncultured bacterium. RNAcentral's name for it is "partial 16S ribosomal RNA". It matches the Rfam family "Bacterial small subunit ribosomal RNA", at positions 338 to 729 of the family's 1533-position model. The record is from RNAcentral.
CCUACGGGUGGCAGCAGUGAGGAAUAUUGGUCAAUGGACGAGAGGCUGAACCAGCCAAGUAGCGUGAAGGAUGACUGCCCUAUGGGUUGUAAACUUCUUUUGUCAGGGAGUAAAGCGAGCCACGUGUGCGUUUUUGCAUGUACUUUAUGAAUAAGGAUCGGCUAACUCCGUGCCAGCAGCCGCGGUAAUACGGAGGAUCCGAGCGGUAUCCGGAUUUAUUGGGGUUAAAGGGUGCGGAGAUGGGUUGUUAAGUCAGUUGUGAAAGUUUGCGGCUCAACCGUCAUAUUGCAAUUGAUACUGGCAGUCUUGAGUAGACGUGAGGUAAGCGGAAUUCGUGGUGUAGCGGUGAAAUGCAUAGAUAUCACGAAGAACCCCGAUUGCGAAGGCAGCUUAC